AUUGAACGCUGGCGGCAGGCCUAACACAUGCAAGUCGAACGAGUGGCGGACGGGGGAGUAAUGUAUGGGAAACUGCCUGAUGGAGGGGGGUAACUACUGGAAACGGUAGCUAAUAACGCAUACCAUCAGAUGGGCCCAGAUGGGAUUAGCUUGGUGGUGGGGUAACGGCUCACCAAGGCGACGAUCCCUAGCUGGUCUGAGAGGAUGAUAAGCUACACUGGAACUGAGACACGGUCCAGACUCAUACGGUAGGCAGCAGUGGAGAAUAUUGUACAAUGGACGCAAGCCUGAUGCAGCCAUGCCGCGUGGAUGAAGAAGGCCUGCGGGUUGUAAAGUACUUUCAGUGGGGAGGCGUUACCCGAAGAAGAAGCACCGGCUAACUCCGUGCCAGCCGCCGCGGUAAUAC
RNAcentral lists this ribosomal RNA (406 nucleotides) under uncultured bacterium. RNAcentral describes it as "partial 16S ribosomal RNA". It matches the Rfam family "Bacterial small subunit ribosomal RNA", at positions 30 to 526 of the family's 1533-position model. The record is from RNAcentral.